RNAcentral lists this ribosomal RNA (302 nucleotides) under uncultured bacterium. RNAcentral describes it as "bacterial SSU rRNA". It matches the Rfam family "Bacterial small subunit ribosomal RNA", at positions 44 to 334 of the family's 1533-position model. The record is from RNAcentral.
GUGCUUAACACAUGCAAGUCGAGUGCGCAGUUUUCCGUAGCAAUACGGAAAACCGGCGCACGGCGCACGGGUGAGUAACACGUGGGCAACCUGCCCUACAGAGGGGGAUACCCCCGCGAAAGCGGGACUAAUACCGCAUGAAAUUCCGGUGGCUUCGGCUGCUGGACUCAAAGUCCGCAAGGACGCUGUUGGAGGGGCCCGCGCCCGAUUAGCUUGUUGGUGAGGUAACGGCUCACCAAGGCAAUGAUCGGUAGCCGAUCUGAGAGGAUGAUCGGUCACACUGGAACUGAGACACGGUCCAG